UGAUGACUACAACUAUUUGAGCAUGCC
This 27-nucleotide non-coding RNA is filed under the name Bombyx mori (domestic silkworm). The record is from RNAcentral. Lineage: Eukaryota; Metazoa; Arthropoda; Insecta; Lepidoptera; Bombycidae.